This 108-nucleotide non-coding RNA is filed under the name Escherichia coli. Its description in RNAcentral is "antisense sRNA RprA". It matches the Rfam family "RprA RNA". Rfam says of the family: Translational regulation of the stationary phase sigma factor RpoS is mediated by the formation of a double-stranded RNA stem-loop structure in the upstream region of the rpoS messenger RNA, occluding the translation initiation site. Clones carrying rprA (RpoS regulator RNA A) increased the translation of RpoS. The rprA gene encodes a 106 nucleotide regulatory RNA. The record is from RNAcentral. Lineage: Bacteria; Pseudomonadati; Pseudomonadota; Gammaproteobacteria; Enterobacterales; Enterobacteriaceae.
ACGGUUAUAAAUCAACAUAUUGAUUUAUAAGCAUGGAAAUCCCCUGACUGAAACAACGAAUUGCUGUGUGUAGUCUUUGCCCAUCUCCCACGAUGGGCUUUUUUUUAA